UUACGGCUAUAUCAAAUUGAAACACUGGUUCUCGUGGGAUCACCGAAGUUAAGCAACGUCGAGCCUAGUCAUUACCCAGAUGAGUGAUCGCUUGGGAAUCCCUAGGUGUUGUAA
Non-coding RNA from Acanthosepion pharaonis, 114 nucleotides. The record is from the annotation of a GenBank genome assembly. NCBI's taxonomy places the organism in Eukaryota, Metazoa, Mollusca, Cephalopoda, Sepiida, Sepiidae.